This is a small nuclear RNA of Echinops telfairi (small Madagascar hedgehog), 169 nucleotides long. RefSeq annotates it as U1 spliceosomal RNA. The transcript has a single exon. The record is from RefSeq and is a predicted model, not a curated record. NCBI's taxonomy places the organism in Eukaryota, Metazoa, Chordata, Mammalia, Afrosoricida, Tenrecidae.
UUAUUUCUGGGACGGGUCAAGGGCGCUACCAUGAUCACGAAGGUGGUUUUCCCAGGGCAAGGCUUAUCCAUUGCACUCCGGAUGUGCUGACUCCUGCGAUUUCCCCAAAUGUGGGAAACUCGACUGCAUAAUUUGUGGUUGUGGGGGGCUGCGUUCAUGCUCUCCCACA